RNAcentral lists this ribosomal RNA (573 nucleotides) under Rhizoplaca subdiscrepans. RNAcentral's name for it is "eukaryotic LSU rRNA". The stretch from base 226 to 379 matches the Rfam family "5.8S ribosomal RNA". The record is from RNAcentral. Lineage: Eukaryota; Fungi; Ascomycota; Lecanoromycetes; Lecanorales; Lecanoraceae.
GAACCGCGUGAAGGAUCAUUACUGAGAGGGGUUUUCGGACUCCGGGGGUUUCGGCCCCCAACUCUUCACCCGAUGUCUACGUUACCUUUGUUGCUUUGGCGGGCCUUGGGGUUACCCCCAUACCGGCUACGGGCUUUGUCGUCGCCCGGGCCGGUCCGUGCCCGUCAGAGGCCCAUUAUACUCUGUUUUAUCAGUGACGUCCGAGCAAAAACACAAAUAGUAAAAAACUUUCAACAACGGAUCUCUUGGUUCUGGCAUCGAUGAAGAACGCAGCGAAAUGCGAUAAGUAAUGUGAAUUGCAGAAUUCAGUGAAUCAUCGAAUCUUUGAACGCACAUUGCGCCCCUCGGUAUUCCGGGGGGCAUGCCUGUUCGAGCGUCAUUGCACCCCUCAAGCUCAGCUUGGUAUUGGGUCUUCGCCCCCCGCGGCGGGCCCGAAAUGCAGUGACGGUCCGGUGUGACUUCGAGCGUAGUAAAUCCUCUCCCGCUUUGGAAGCUCACACUGCGGCCGGCCAGAACGCCCCAAUUUUCCAAACGAUUGACCUCGGAUCAGGUAGGGAUACCCGCUGAACUUAA